AAGCAUAGUUUAGUGGUAGAACUUCAGCUUCCCAAGCUGACUGUGCGAGUUCGAUUCUCGUUGCUU
This 66-nucleotide transfer RNA is filed under the name human gut metagenome. It matches the Rfam family "tRNA". Rfam says of the family: Transfer RNA (tRNA) molecules are approximately 80 nucleotides in length. The record is from RNAcentral.